This 1223-nucleotide long non-coding RNA is filed under the name Fukomys damarensis (Damara mole-rat). Its description in RNAcentral is "lncRNA (ENSFDAG00000031921.1)". Lineage: Eukaryota; Metazoa; Chordata; Mammalia; Rodentia; Bathyergidae. The record is from RNAcentral.
GGGCGGGUUCUAAAAUGAAGCUGCCAUUGUCCCUUCAUAGUGGACAAUGACACCAGGUAUGAUGUGUGGUGGCACAGAGCACUGCCAGCCAGGAGGCUCCCCCAGGACUCAGUGUACAUGGACUGCGUUGUGUCUUCAUUACACAGCGGAACAGUGGAGCUGCGGCCACACGAUGGGCACCGUUCCCAGCUCUGCGCCACCCAUGGAGCUUGGGCUGCUCUCAUCUUCAUUAUGCCCCAAACCUCUAGGUACACGGUGCUCUUUCUGGGUGGUCUGGCCACUGCCCUGGGUCACCUCAGGACGGGCACCCCUGAGGGUCAAGGGGAUUCCUCACAAAAGAGUGGCUUAUUAGCAAAGCUAAUUUAUGUAGAGAGAGGUAAAGCUGUCUCAUCCAUGGAUAACCCGAAGAAGGACUAUGGGAGGGAAAGAAAAUGUGGGCUCUGGCCCUCAUCACGUGGAGUGUACUCUGGUCAGUCACCUAUGUGACAGGGAGCAGACUGGGACAAUAUACCACCACGCAGAGAGCCACAGUUGGGACACCCUCACCAGGCUUCCUCCUGUCACUCGCCAUGCUCCCAAGGGAGGCUGCUGUGCAUCACGAUGACAAGAAACCUGACAGUAGCAACUCAGAGGAGGGGAGGUGGAUUUGGGCUCGUGGCUCCAGUCCACGGUCAGCUGGGUCUGUUGUUUCAAACUUGCAGGGAGGGAGAAGCAUGAAGGUAGAGGGCUUCCUAUAAGGAGAAAGGUAAGAAGCCGGAGAGGAAGGGGCUUGUAUGGCACGUGGUUCUCAGCACAAUGCCCGUGAUAAGCUUCGUCCAGUUGGGCACCACCUCCCCAUAGGCCCGUGGGGCUCUGAACUCUCCCGUGGAGUAGUCCUUGAGGAAGUUGGAGUCCUUGUUGUCCAGCCACUUAUUCCACAUGUGACCUCUGAACACAGCUGCCCUGGGGAAGAAGCCCUUGGGACACUAGUCGGGAGCCCACCACAUCCAGACCAUGGCGGGAGUCUUCUGUCUUCCCCAUGUGACUUCCCCGCGGAUCCGACAGCUGUCGAUGUGAACUGGCAGAUGCGCCUUGGUGUUUGCACAGUUCCUGAUUUUCUCUUCUCGAACUCUGGAGGAAGGUGUGUGUCACGUACAGACAAAGAUCAGCCCACAUAUUCUUCUGGCAUUUGGACUCCAAGUUUGAAAACAAGAAAUCAAUAAAUGCUUAAUGGGACUCGGACU